AGUGUUUAUGUUUUGGUUCUUGUCACUGUAACUCCGUCUGGAUCGCAAAUGAACACAACAUUUUCAAGUUAAAAAGAUCACGCUCGGAUCAUCAUCUUCCUCUUCCAAGUGACGAACCUAAAUCAAAGCCGAGAUUCACAAUUUUCUCAAGUUCGAAGAAACCGCCAUAGAAGAUGGCAACUAAGGCGAAUUCCAAAGGCUACAAUUUCGCUUCUACUUGGGAACAGUUCUACAAAUGGUUUACUGAUCUUGAAUCAGCGAUGAAGUCUGAGACAGAGGAGAAGUAUCGGCUCUAUGUCACUACUUUAACUGAACGCAUCCAGACGUGUUGAUGAUAUACUUCAUCAGGCAGUUUCAUUUUCUUCCACCCUUUCCUAGUUGAUGGAGAAGCAGAAAUUAUAUCCUCCAAUUUUUAUUCUCCAUAUAUGAACGUAUCAAAUUCAAAAUUUCUCCCACUACUGAGACAGCUUGAUGAAUGCAUAUCGUGAGUAAAUGAUGUUGGAUUCAAUAUUAUGAACUUUAACAUUCAUUAUUUGAGAAGGACAAUGGCUGGUUUAUCAGCUUUAGUGACUUACGAUUUUAGUAACUGUUAAUGGAGCAUCAACUGUUUACUCAUUCUUUCCAGUAUUAUCAGAGGAAAUUUCAAGUCUGGCACCUUUUUGUGGAUCCUUUGUAAGUUUUAUUUAUGCCGUGCUGUCUAUGUUCUUCAUCUAUGUCUUUGGUCAAUUUAACACUGAAAUAGUUUUUGGUGCCUUGUAUACUGAAUUAUUUUGGGCAUUGAGCAUAUAUAUAUAUAUAUAUACUUAUAUAUCCAUAAUAAGUAUAUACACUUAGUAGUUGAGAAUUUACUUAUUUCUUCUUCUUCUCGUUCUCUUUACACCAUUUAGCGUCCAUCAAAUAAUGCACAGCCGAACAUUCAUCAUUUCAUCCCAUCACCAUUGUUAACUGUGAAUCAGGAACCUAAUUUUGCCGUCAUUGCCUCGAUAGUAUUAUCUUGAUUUUUGUUUGUUUAUACUAAUCUCUAUGUCUUUGUUUAGAGAUCCCAAUGAUUUCGUUUGUUAUAUGUGAUACUUCCAACUACACUGUAGUAAACUUUCUUUGAAUCUAAUUAUAACUUCUUAAAAGUCUAGGAUUCAGGAAAAAAUGAGCUAGCUUAAGUGAUCAAGAUUAUUUCCGUUUGUUAUAUGUUGUGCGGUGCUUCCUUUUUUUUUUAUCAAAUUUGCUUGUUCCUGAACAGGUCAACGUACCUGUAUGACAUCUUACACCCAAAACUGAUUCAUGAAGCAAAUUUUCAUCUAUUUUGCGAGCUCGUUCAUAUCCUUAAAGUUGAAGUUUUGGAUGAGCAGCCAACUAGACAGAGUGCACCCCUGGCCAGACUGCGGCCUACAUUACAAAGAAUAUUGGCCGAUGUUAGUGAGAGAUUGACUGUCCGUGCAUUACAAACAUAUAUUCGAGAUUAGAAAGCCACCAAGCUUAUCACUAAGCGAUCAAUUACAAUGGAUGACCAGUUUUUCCUUAUCAAGUAUCUCCUUAUCUUGAGAGAACAGAUUGCGCUUUUUGACAUAGAAUUUUUAGUCACCCACAAAGAGCUUGAUUUCUCUCAUUUGCUGGUUAGUUCCUCGACAUUCAAGUCUACUUCGUAUGACAGAUCUAUUUUUUUCUUCUUUUCAUUAUCGCCUUAAGAGGUGCUUAUCUUUAUGCACAUUUCAGAUGUUUUUCCUCCUUCAGUAUCUUUCUUUGUUGAUGAAUUUGUUAACUUGCUCCGAUAAUUCAUGUCAAAAAUGUUGGUGGGAACACUUGAGGAGGAUACUGAGGUUUAGCGUCAUUUUUUGACUGGUCUAGGUCAACCUCUCUAGCAAGUAGCAAGGACCCUGUCACCCUCGAGGUUUGGAGAGUCAAAUAGAUACCAAGAAGGAACUGGAAAAAAUGUCUUACGAUAACUUGUGAGGAGUUCAUCAUGUCGAUCACUAAAGCUAGUUAUGGAUCCUAUGUUUUCAUUUGUGACCAAGGUCACUGCCAUAAAAGUUGCUCUUCAACUCAGAAUCAAAAAGUUGAUUCUGCCAUAGUUAGCCGCUGAAGGAACAAGCUUUCGCUACACCAGAUAAGGUGGCUGAACUUGUUCAGAAGGUAUAUAGCAAAAAUGAAUUUCUAUUUGCAAAACCUAUCAACGAGGAUCCUACUUUUCCAACCGAGCAAGUAGCCGUUGAACAUACUUGGGCUUGCAGCUUUGUUCCCGAGCUUUAGUCUUUGUGUUGGGCUUUGCAGUCUUAAGGCCUUUUAACAAAGCUGUGCCGUUUUGCUCUGUUGUCUUUACAAUCUUUGGCUGGUUUCAUAUGGGAUUUAAUUAUCUGGUACC
Camelina sativa (false flax) is the source of this 2356-nucleotide non-coding RNA. The record is from RefSeq and is a predicted model, not a curated record. NCBI's taxonomy places the organism in Eukaryota, Viridiplantae, Streptophyta, Magnoliopsida, Brassicales, Brassicaceae.